RNAcentral lists this transfer RNA (76 nucleotides) under Rhodeus sericeus (Amur bitterling). Its description in RNAcentral is "tRNA-Leu". It matches the Rfam family "tRNA". Rfam says of the family: Transfer RNA (tRNA) molecules are approximately 80 nucleotides in length. Their secondary structure includes four short double-helical elements and three loops (D, anti-codon, and T loops). Further hydrogen bonds mediate the characteristic L-shaped molecular structure. tRNAs have two regions of fundamental functional importance: the anti-codon, which is responsible for specific mRNA codon recognition, and the 3' end, to which the tRNAs corresponding amino acid is attached (by aminoacyl-tRNA synthetases). tRNAs cope with the degeneracy of the genetic code in two manners: having more than one tRNA (with a specific anti-codon) for a particular amino acid; and 'wobble' base-pairing, i.e. permitting non-standard base-pairing at the 3rd anti-codon position. RNAcentral also lists the same sequence under 1 other name. The record is from RNAcentral. Lineage: Eukaryota; Metazoa; Chordata; Actinopteri; Cypriniformes; Acheilognathidae.
ACUGGGGUGGCAGAGCAUGGUAAAUUGCAAAAGGUCUAAGCCCUUUUAAUCAGAGGUUCAAAUCCUCUUCCCAGUU